This 497-nucleotide ribosomal RNA is filed under the name uncultured bacterium. Its description in RNAcentral is "partial 16S ribosomal RNA". It matches the Rfam family "Bacterial small subunit ribosomal RNA", at positions 28 to 507 of the family's 1533-position model. The record is from RNAcentral.
GACGAACGCUGGCGGCGUGCCUUAUACAUGCAAGUUGAGCGCUGAAGGUUGGUACUUGUACCAACUGGAUGAGCAGCGAACGGGUGAGUAACGCGUGGGGAAUCUGCCUUUGAGCGGGGGACAACAUUUGGAAACGAAUGCUAAUACCGCAUAAAAACUUUAAACACAAGUUUUAAGUUUGAAAGAUGCAAUUGCAUCACUCAAAGAUGAUCCCGCGUUGUAUUAGCUAGUUGGUGAGGUAAAGGCUCACCAAGGCGAUGAUACAUAGCCGACCUGAGAGGGUGAUCGGCCACAUUGGGACUGAGACACGGCCCAAACUCCUACGGGAGGCAGCAGUAGGGAAUCUUCGGCAAUGGACGAAAGUCUGACCGAGCAACGCCGCGUGAGUGAAGAAGGUUUUCGGAUCGUAAAACUCUGUUGGUAGAGAAGAACGUUGGUGAGAGUGGAAAGCUCAUCAAGUGACGGUAACUACACAGAAAGGGACGGCUAACUACGUG